GGGAAUGUGCCUUAUGUUCUCUCUUGCACAGUGGUGGUGUCUCCCUUGACCCUUCCUAACAAACACGACACGAUGCUUUGUUAACCCUGGAGGAAGGACAUCAUUGUCCUGCAGGAUGCUGGGUGUUGUUAUGAAUGCAAGAGCCAGCAGGGGAUGGUACAGAGGAUGCAGAGACCAACUCUCCCUAAGAGCUCAAAGCAGCUUCACAAGCAUUUGAACUGGGCCUUGAACAGUGAGCACAAAUUCUUCAGGCAAACAGAGAUGCUCUUCCCACAGAAUUCUGCAAAUCUUCCAGCCUGCUUUCUGGACCAGAGAAGCUUGGCUAAAGGAGCUGGACAUCGGGCAACCCCUCCCAUUUGGAUUGAGCCUCCAACAUUCAGAGGUUGCACCCCAUCAGUCUAAACAACAUUUUUUUUUGCGUGAUAGAAACACAGACCACAGAUUGGAAUUGUCUGUUUGUACUUAGAUGGGAAGUCCUAGCAGUUCUCAUCAACCCUUGAAGACGUUAAAAAUCACGCCACAGUUGGCCAACCGUCUGUUUACCUCUUGAAGAACUCUCUCAGAUGACAGUAAUCACAGGCAGGUUCUGAAUCACAGGCUGAUGUUAACAUGUACCAAGGCUAUACCCCCUGGAAAAGCCUAUUUCCAGCCUUCUGAGGCUACUUCAUUACUACCCUGGCUUUCCUGGCUCCUAAUGGUCAGGGUGGAGGGAGGGACGGAGGUAGGGGAGAUCUGGGAAGCCUGGUUAGCUAGAAGUUCCUGCCUUGUCACAGCACUAAUCCUGCAAUUUCUCCAUUGGAUUUCUGGACUGAUGAGCAAUUUUGAUGCUGAUAAGGCAGAAACACAAUCACUCUCCUGGGCCCUUGUAUUUUGCAGGGUAACUUGGAUAAUACACCCCAUCUCGGCACCUCUGCGAGUGUAACUCAUUUCCUCUGCCCAGAGGAGAAACAAGGACUCCUUGGACAAAACGGUGCUUCCUUUCAUAGCCAAUGAAUUGGGCAUUUCUCCAGGUUCUGUGAAGCUUAUUUAGUGACAUUCCCCAAAACCUGUGCCCCGAGAAGUUCCUUCUUCUCUGACUUUAGGUAGAGUCCGAGAUUCAUUUCAGUGAUUUGGCUAACAUGUAAAGUGUCUCACAUGUGAAAGAGAAUCAAAAUAACUUGAGCACAACAACAGACAAACAAAAGCAAUACUUGACCAAGACCUCUUGUACUUUUUCUGCUCUGGGACUCUCCAAGCACUGUUCACAAAUGCAGUGUAUGUGGAAAUCUAUGGUAUUGUUAUGAUCUGUCAGUGAUGGUGCAUAUUAAAACCCAGUUUUAGUUAAUAUUCACUCAUAGCCUUUGCUUGUUAAUAUUUACACACUUGGCUUAGAAGAUAGAAAGGCUCGGCCAGGUGUGGUGGCUGACGCCUGUAAUCCCAGCACUCUGGAAGGCCGAGGCAGGCGGAUCACGAGGUCAGGAGAUCGAGACCACCCUGGCUAACACAGUGAAACCCCAUCUCUACUAAAAAUACCAUAAAAAAUUAGCCGGGAGUGGUGGCGGGUGCCUGUAGUCCCAGCUACUCAGGAGGCUGAGGCAGGAGAAUGGUGUAAACCUGGGAGGCGGAGCUUGCAGUGAGCUGAGAUCGCGCCACUGCACUCCAGCCUGGGCGACAGAGCGAGACUCCAUCUCAAAAAAAAAAAAAAAAAAAAAAAAAAGAAGAUAGAAAGGCUCAACAGAAUUCUACAGAAAGAAACUCGAACCAUCCAAUCAUGACGUUAGCGAUGUGUUGUCUCUAAUCAAGUUACCUGAUUACCUAGGUAACAGGAGGCCUUAGCAGUCACCCCUGGCACGCAUGGACCACUUACUGGCAACUCUUUUGUGGCUGUGAAUUCAUAUAGUAUUUGGUUAAAUGGUGACACAAAAUUGAUCCCUAG
Molecule: long non-coding RNA, 1915 nt
Filed under: Homo sapiens (human)
Lineage: Eukaryota; Metazoa; Chordata; Mammalia; Primates; Hominidae
Description: HSALNT0161118
Source: RNAcentral